This 496-nucleotide ribosomal RNA is filed under the name uncultured bacterium. RNAcentral's name for it is "partial 16S ribosomal RNA". It matches the Rfam family "Bacterial small subunit ribosomal RNA", at positions 29 to 523 of the family's 1533-position model. The record is from RNAcentral.
AUUGAACGCUGGCGGCAUGCUUUACACAUGCAAGUCGAACGGUAGAGGGGGCAACCCCUUGAGAGUGGCGAACGGGUGAGUAAUGCAUCGGAACGUGCCCAGUAGUGGGGGAUAGCCCGGCGAAAGCCGGAUUAAUACCGCAUACGACCUUAGGGUGAAAGCGGGGGAUCGCAAGACCUCGCGCUAUUGGAGCGGCAGAUGUCAGAUUAGGUAGUUGGUGGGGUAAAGGCCUACCAAGCCGACGAGCUGUAGCUGGUCUGAGAGGACGACCAGCCACACUGGGACUGAGACACGGCCCAGACUCCUACGGGAGGCAGCAGUGGGGAAUUUUGGACAAUGGGCGCAAGCCUGAUCCAGCCAUGCCGCGUGCGGGAAGAAGGCCUUCGGGUUGUAAACCGCUUUUGUCAGGGAAGAAAUCUUCUGGGCUAAUACCCUGGGAGGAUGACGGUACCUGAAGAAUAAGCACCGGCUAACUACGUGCCAGCCGCCGCCGUAA